AGGCAGGAAGAGAGGGAGCAAGGGAGGGAAAGAGGGAAGGAAAAGGAGAGGGAGAGGGAGGGAGAGAGGGAGGAAGGGAGGGAGGAAGGGAGGGAGAGGGAGAGGGAGGGCGGGAGAGAGGGAGGGAGAGGGAGAGAGGGAGGGAGAGGGAGAGAGGGAGGGAUCUUCCCACCUGCUGGUUCACUUCCUAAAUCUCUGCAACAGCCAGGGUUGGAUGAUGCCACAGCCAGGAGCCCGGAACUCCAUCCAGGGACCCAAGCACGUGCGUCAUCAUCUACUGCCUCCUGGGGCGCACAUUAGCAGGAAGCUGGAAGCAGAGCCAGGAUGAAACCAGGCACUCCAAGCGGUGUCUCAACCACUGAGCCAAAUGCCCGCCCAGUUUGUUCCUGUGUAAUUGUUCCGUCAGAAGUGUGAAAGCUGAAAAGAUGCGAUGUCUACAGUGUUGGCUGUAACUUCUGUUGCUGAUCAUCGGUUCCUCUUCAAUUAAGGCCUGAACAUGAAUUUGUCCUUGAGAAUUGAUGUGGAUGGUCUGUCCCUGCAGGCUUCCUUUGUCGCAUCAUUUCUUAACAUGAGUUCUCCGUUUGUAAACUGCUGGUUAUACAGGGGGGAAGUGUGGACACAGACAUGCACGCGGUCGAGAAUGCCACGUGAGGCCGAAGGCAGAGAAGGAGGUGGGGAGCUUCCAGAACCCAGAGAACACCAAGGACUGCCAGCAGCCGUGAGGGCCUAAGAGGAACACAGAACGGUCUCCUUGCUGGGCCUCAGGGAGACAACCGCUCCAACCCCUUGAUCUCACACUUCGGCCUUCGGAACGGUGAGACAGUCCAUGCCUGUGUUUCAGCCGCCGGUCUGUGGCAUUUUGUUAUGGCAGCCCCAGCCCACCAGGACACCUCCCCAGGGAUGGAGUGUGCUCAACACUCGGGACAGGAACCUUGCUCAGCUGGCAAAGCUGCGGAGGACCUGUCUGAUCUGGGAGACGAUUUGAGAAAAGUCCAGCCAAGUUUUGUCCCCACCCCCCAGUCUCUGAUCAAUCACCAGGAAGACUGUGCCUUGUGGGGGAGCAGACGCUACCUAAUGGCCUUGCCGAUGGAGUGGAGCAGCAGAGACGGCCCUCGAAAGACCUCCACUGGAAUUGGAGCCCGUUUUUACGUAUUUGUCUUAAAUUGACAAACUUGGCCAUCAGCAGAGCUACUGUGUGGUGGUACUCUCUGUAGAACCAUUCGUGGCCGGCGCCGAGGCUCACUAGGCUAAUCCUUCCUGCCUUGCGGCACUGGCACACCGGGUUCUAGUCCCGGUCGGGGCACCAGAUUCUGUCCUGGUUGCCCCUCUUCCAGGCCAGCUCUCUGCUGUGGCCCGGGAGUGCAGUGGAGGAUGGCCCAAGUGCUUGGGCCCUGCACCCCAUGGGAGACCAGGAUAAGUACCUGGCUCCUGCCAUUGGAUCAGCACGAUGCGCCGGCCGCAGUGGCCAUUGGAGGGUGAACCAACGGCAAAGGAAGACCUUUCUCUCUGUCUCUCUCUCUCACUGUCCACUCUGCCUGUCAAAAAAAUAAAUAAUAAUAAUAAUAAAAAAAGAACCA
This is a long non-coding RNA of Oryctolagus cuniculus (rabbit), 1577 nucleotides long. Lineage: Eukaryota; Metazoa; Chordata; Mammalia; Lagomorpha; Leporidae. The record is from Ensembl.